Molecule: regulatory RNA element, 162 nt
Organism: Clostridium sp. CAG:169
Lineage: Bacteria; Bacillati; Bacillota; Clostridia; Eubacteriales; Clostridiaceae
Rfam family: Ribosomal protein L10 leader
About the family: This family is a putative r-protein leader autoregulatory structure found in B. subtilis and other low-GC Gram-positive bacteria.
Source: Rfam
AUAAAAAAGCUGUCAAUUCCAUAGACAGCAGGUGCAAAUGCACGAGCAUUGCUUAAAGUAAGCCUGCCGAGGAAAUGAUGAAAUAGCAUAUCUAUGACUUUUCAUCUGCUCUUUUCCCUCGGUGGUCCCCCACUGGGAGAAAAGAGCUUUUUUAAGUUUUCG